CAAAUACUCCCUCCAUCCGGAAAUACUUGUCAUCAAAAUGGAUAAAAAGAGAUGUAUCUAAAACUAUUAGUUUUAGAUACAUCUCUUUUUAUCCAUUUUUAUGAUACAUCUCGUUUUAUCCAUUUUGAUGAUACAUCUCUUUUUAUCCAUUUUGAUGACAAGUAUUUCCGGACGGAGGGAGGUGUGUG
Non-coding RNA from Triticum aestivum (bread wheat), 188 nucleotides. The record is from Rfam. Lineage: Eukaryota; Viridiplantae; Streptophyta; Magnoliopsida; Poales; Poaceae.